RNAcentral lists this ribosomal RNA (157 nucleotides) under uncultured bacterium. Its description in RNAcentral is "partial 16S ribosomal RNA". It matches the Rfam family "Bacterial small subunit ribosomal RNA", at positions 355 to 508 of the family's 1533-position model. The record is from RNAcentral.
UAAGGAAUAUUGGUCAAUGGACGCAAGUCUGAACCAGCCAUGCCGCGUGAAGGAUGAAGGCGUUCUGCGUUGUAAACUUCUUUUAUCUGGGAAGAAACCUACGAUUUCUAUCGUAGCCGACGGUACCAGAGGAAUAAGCACCGGCUAACUUCCGUGC